Molecule: ribosomal RNA, 483 nt
Filed under: uncultured bacterium
Lineage: Bacteria
Description: partial 16S ribosomal RNA
Rfam family: Bacterial small subunit ribosomal RNA
Source: RNAcentral
AUUGAACGCUGGCGGCAGGCCUAACACAUGCAAGUCGAGCGGAUGAAGGGAGCUUGCUCCUGGACUCAGCGGCGGACGGGUGAGUAAUGCCAGGAAUCUGCCUGGUAGUGGGGGAUAACGUCCGGAAACGGGCGCUAAUACCGCAUACGUCCUGAGGGAGAAAGUGGGGGAUCUUCGGACCUCACGCUAUCAGAUGAGCCUAGGUCGGAUUAGCUAGUUGGUGGGGUAAAGGCCUACCAAGGCGACGAUCCGUAACUGGUCUGAGAGGAUGAUCAGUCACACUGGAACUGAGACACGGUCCAGACUCCUACGGGAGGCAGCAGUGGGGAAUAUUGGACAAUGGGCGAAAGCCUGAUCCAGCCAUGCCGCGUGUGUGAAGAAGGUCUUCGGAUUGUAAAGCACUUUAAGUUGGGAGGAAGGGCAGUAAGUUAAUACCUUGCUGUUUUGACGUUACCAACAGAAUAAGCACCGGCUAACUUCGUG